GUUGGGGUUAUGGUAUGGGCCCCAUGGUGGAGGUGGGGUUAUGGUAUGGGCCCCAUGGUGGCAGUGGGGUUAGGGUGUGGUAUGGACCUCAUGGUGGAGGUGGGGUUAUGGUAUGGGCCCCAUGGUGGGGUUAGGGUGUGGUAUGGGCCCCAUGGUGGAGGUGGGGUUAUGGUAUGGGCCCCAUGGUGGAGGUGGGGUUAUGGUAUGGGCCCCAUGGUGGAGGUGGGGUUAUGGUAUGGGCCCCAUGGUGGAGAUGUGGGGAUAUGGUAUGGGCCCCAUGGUGGAGAUGUGGGGUUUGUGGUAUGGGCCCCAUGGUGGAGGUGGGGUUAUGGUAUGGGCCCCAUGGUGGAGAUGUGGGGUUAUGGUAUGGGCCCCAUGGUGGAGAUGUGGGGUUUGUGGUAUGGGCCCCAUGGUGGAGGUGUGGGGUUAUGGUAUGGGCCCCAUGGUGGAGAUGGGGUUAUGGUAUGGGCCCCAUGGUGGAGAUGUGGGGAUAUGGUAUGGGCCCCAUGGUGGAGAUGUGGGGUUUGUGGUAUGGGCCCCAUGGUGGAGGUGGGGUUAUGGUAUGGGCCCCAUGGUGGAGAUGUGGGGUUUGUGGUAUGGGCCCCAUGGUGGAGAUGUGGGGUUAUGGUGUUUGUGGUAUGGGCCCCAUGGUGGAGAUGGGGUUAUGGUAUGGGCCCCAUGGUGGAGGUGUGGGGUUAUGGUAUGGGCCCCAUGGUGGAGGUGGGGAUAUGGUAUGGGCCCCAUGGUGGAGCAACACUAUGUCAACUAAACAGGAUCUGAUUGGAUCGAGCCCUGGGUUUUUCUGAUUUAAAAACUAAAAUAAUUGUGUGACUUCCAGCUGUUUUUAAAUCGACAUGCACCACAGCAGGUAAUUGUUCCAUCUGUUUUCUAUGUAAAUAUCAACCCCCC
Molecule: long non-coding RNA, 909 nt
Filed under: Salmo salar (Atlantic salmon)
Lineage: Eukaryota; Metazoa; Chordata; Actinopteri; Salmoniformes; Salmonidae
Description: lncRNA (ENSSSAG00000105908.1)
Source: RNAcentral